This 181-nucleotide non-coding RNA is filed under the name Clostridia bacterium. Its description in RNAcentral is "6S RNA". It matches the Rfam family "6S / SsrS RNA". From Rfam's summary of the family: E. coli 6S RNA was the first non coding RNA to be sequenced, but its function was unknown until recently. The record is from RNAcentral. Lineage: Bacteria; Bacillati; Bacillota; Clostridia.
UAAACCCUACAAUGUACGUGUUAUGCCGGAUGUUUUGAGCCAACACCAACACAUAGGGAGCUUCGGCUCUGGGUGUGGCUUAUAUGCCCGGAAGGGACAUAAAAAGCAUCCAGGAGAGCACCCACCUGUCUGCGCACAGGUUCUCAAACUCCGGUUGACCCACGGCAUUUGUGGGGCUCUG